Molecule: unclassified non-coding RNA, 391 nt
Filed under: soil metagenome
Description: partial contains 5.8S ribosomal RNA, internal transcribed spacer 2, and large subunit ribosomal RNA
Rfam family: 5.8S ribosomal RNA (bases 1-122)
Source: RNAcentral
GAUGAAGAACGUAGCGAAAUGCGAUACUUGGUGUGAAUUGCAGAAUCCCGUGAACCAUCGAGUCUUUGAACGCAAGUUGCGCCCGAAGCCAUUAGGCCGAGGGCACGCCUGCCUGGGCGUCACACGUCGUUGCCCCCCCAUCUACUCCUUCGGGAUUGCGGGGGGCGGAUGAUGGCCUCCCGUGCGCCUCGUCGCGCGGUUGGCCUAAAUGCCAAGUCCUCGGCGACGCACGCCACGACAAUCGGUGGUUGCGAAACCUCGGUUGCCCGUCGUGUGCGGUCGUCGCGCAUCGAGGGCUCGAGAAAAUUGCCGGGCUUCGGCUCGACUUUCAACGCGACCCCAGGUCAGGCGGGGUUACCCGCUGAAUUUAAGCAUAUCAAUAAGCGGAGGA